UCUACCAACUGACCCCAUGCCGAACUCAGAAGUGAAACGCCGUAGCGCCGAUGGUAGUGUGGGGUCUCCCCAUGUGAGAGUAGGGAACUGCCAGGC
RNAcentral lists this ribosomal RNA (96 nucleotides) under Klebsiella pneumoniae. Lineage: Bacteria; Pseudomonadati; Pseudomonadota; Gammaproteobacteria; Enterobacterales; Enterobacteriaceae. The record is from RNAcentral.